This is a long non-coding RNA of Lytechinus pictus (painted urchin), 4006 nucleotides long. RefSeq lists it as uncharacterized. The record is from RefSeq and is a predicted model, not a curated record. The transcript has 5 exons. NCBI's taxonomy places the organism in Eukaryota, Metazoa, Echinodermata, Echinoidea, Temnopleuroida, Toxopneustidae.
AAUCCACGAAGACUAGAUCGACUGGACUCCCUGUAUAUUCUAGCAAAGCCAAAGAAGCGAGAGCCGAUGCGAUGGCCUGUGAAGCUGUAUGGAGCAUAAAGGUGGCCCAGCUAGCUAGAGAGAGAUGGAAAAAAGAUGAAGAACAACGGACAGCGAUUUCUACGAAGGCACUUGAAGACAGAGCAGACAUGAAAUCAGCAGCAAUGGACAAUGAUGAUGAUGUGAAAGAGCACGACAAGAUCUGGGGCCUGUUUCAUAAAAGACUUUCAACUGUUGCAACUUUGCCAUUAUUGUAACUACCAUGGUAACAUGGCUCAAAAGCCAAUCAACAUCGAGGUCUCAGUUACAAUAAUGGCAUGGUUACCAUAAUUGUAAUUCUUUAUGAAACGGGACCCAUGGAGGAACGCCAUCAUGACAGUCAGAGGGAGAGGAUCUUUUCCAGUACAGCUCCUGAUAAACGAUCUUGCUUGGAGAAACAGAGAGAACAGGAUGUGAGUGAGAAGAUUGCUCUUCAUCUUCCUAAUGCUGAAGGAGGCAGAUCAGAUAUUACAGUUUGAUCAGAGGUUAUUCAAUCUGUCAAAGCCAUUAUAACAAGGGAGAGAGAACCUGAGAAGAGUAUGGACGGAUUCACUUUCCGGUUUGUCUUGUCGAAACUAAAGGACCUAUCGACUUUUAAGCGGAGGCUAAGGAGACAGUGAAGGCACUGGUUUAAUUCGUGCAACACAGUGUUUGCAGCAUGGAUACGCCCCUUAUCUGGUGUUAAACAUCUUCCAAGUAUAAAAGAGAGAGAUAGUCUACCAGAAACAAGGACGUGACACAAAUCUUGAAAUCUUCAUCUACAUGGAAUAUCUGGUUUGAGAAAAUUUGGUGUUUUCGGGAAGUAUGACACAAAACAGACAAUGGAUUUGACACCAUACUCUUUGUAGACACCCUUCACCUUGUGUAUUAUAAUCUUAGUAUCAAAUAUGUGACUCGCAUAUACAUGUAUAUGCAUUCACUACUCAUAAACCCAUUUUUGUUAUGUAUUUUAUGAUGAUUUUUUAUGUAGUGCCAAGGAGCAGGUCCAAGCUGUUAUUUCCAGGGGUUUGAGAGUUAAGCUUUUUAGCUGAUAUUUAGCUUGUUUUCUUUUUGGUUUUGAUUAUCAGCUAAAUGUGAGCUCAUUUUACUUUUUUUCUGUACAAAAAUGUGGUAGCUCUUUCAAAUUCAGCUUAUUUUCAUUACUUUUCAGAUCUUUUUAUUUGUCAUCACUCAGACCCCUGUAUUUCUUUGCUGAUAAUAUACAUGUAUUUUAUAUUCGUUUCAUUUAAAUGCGUGCUUUGUAAUAUGAUAUUUAAUAUAUAAAGAAUAGUUUCUUGGAAUAAUUUUGCUUAACCCUAAUAAGACUGGCCAGGGUAUUUUUGAGAUUUCGUCCGGUGAUGGCUCAAUCACAAAAAAAAUUGCAUCACCCCAUGAUGUAAUCUACAAUUUUAUUUUUCAAAAUUAUUCUAAUUUACUUUUAAUUCAUUUUGCUUAUUUAUGCAUGAAAGUAUAAUUUGGUCAAGGGAGGCCUUUAAUGUCCCCACCCCCAGUCUUUUUAGGGUCAAAGUUGGAAAUAUUUGCAAGUAUUGUGAGGCUUAUGCUUCAUUAGAAAUAAGAUGGUGUUGUAAUUUUUGGAUUUAACUUUGGGCCACCGCACACCUUACGAUUGGUACAAAUAUGUGACCAUUCUACCAUCCCUAUUAUAAUAAAAGCGAAUUGAAUAGUGAUGACGUCAUAGUAACCGUACGAUUGUCUACAAUUUGAAACCAAUUUUGCCUUUACUCCAAAAUUACGGCUUGCAAUCAUCCACAAUUGCUUUAUUAGUAUUCUUACAGUUAAAUUGACCCUCAAAUAAAAUAAUCAAAAUGCCAUUUUUCCAAAUUUGGUUUGUGGACCAGUCAUAAGAUGUGCGGAGGCCUUACAACUUUAUCACAAUGAAAUUUGUAUUUUUUUGUGCUGACUAUUCUGCAAAAGUGGAACCAAAGGUUUUCCAGAGUUUUUCCCAAUUGUGUUUUAUCUCUGGUUUUUUACCCUCGAUCUACUUGUCGUAGAAUUUUCAGCACAAAAUCCCCCCCCCCCUCCCCCCGAAAUUUGUGUAUAAUACCUACAUGUAUAUAAUGUUUAUUUUUCCUUGAAAAUUACUAUCAUUAACAGAUUCUGUCCAGUUUUUGGUCAAUUAUUACAUCAAGAACGUUUAUAAUAUGAACAUUUUCAAUUUCAGUAUUAUCUAUUUCAAUUGCUAAAUUAGAGAAAUGGAGUAUCACAGAAUACCAUGUAUUCAGUGUUUGUUUUGGCCGCUCAGCAGCAAACAAAGUUCAUUUUAAUCCAAUUAAAUUAAAAACAACAAAUAACCAAGUAUAUUUCCGUACUGGACAUGUUAAGGGCAGAAAUAUGAGGAUUUAACAUUGAUUUGAAAAAAAAGGUAAACUGUUUGCGUUCAAAGAGCUAAUUAACCAGUCAAAUGCAACACCCCUGUCACCAUAGCUCCUGAGCUUGAAAAGUAGUAUCACAUUUUUAGGGGAAUCAAAAGCUUUGCUUUGGUCAACGAAUCAAUUUUUUUUUCUCAAAUUUUCACAGUCCCAGUUAUUCAUGGUGCCAAUCGUGUGAGGGUUUCUUUUAUUAUAAAAAAAACCCUACUGUAUAUAGUGUUCAAAUAAAAUGAUUUUAGGUUUAUAUGUGAUCUUAAAUUCAUGAAAAGUUUAUAUGACAGUAACAUAAAUAUUCUGGGGAGUGUUUCACAAAUGGAUUAAAACUAACCAUAAACAAAGUCAUGCUUCAGUUUUCAUACGUGUGCACAUGAUAGUUGAUGGUUAGAUUAAUUGAUUAAUACGCCGUAGAGCGCAUCUGAUCCAACCAAUAUAGGGAUCUGUUUUUGUUUUUUUUUCACAUGAAAAUGGAAAUUUAAGAGCAAUUUUUAGUCACACUUAGUCUUUGUGAAACACCCUUCAGAUUUCUCUUAUAUAUAAGAUGUACUUGUAUGUCAGAUAGCUUGGACCUGCUCUAUUGUGUACGAUUGUCUGUACUGUAGUCUGUAUACUUGCUUUGAUUCAUGAUUUUAUUUUUCUUUCUUGAAAAAAAAUGUAAGACCAGCAGUCCAGAAGAUUCAUUCAAGUUGGAGGACCAUAGCAGUUGACCUCUUUGAUGGGGUAGGCCCUUGACCCUCACAAACAUGGCUUCCAGUCUGGUUUGAGCCGGGAUCGUCCUGCCAGAAUCACACAAUUAGUGACGUCACUACCGAGAGAUCUAUUUUUCAGUGUGCAGAGAAGGGCACUGGACACUGCUGUGCAUAGUAUACAACGCUGAUAAUGUAAGUGCUUUAUUCUUGAUUUUAAUGAUAUUCUGCGUAGCCAAGAGUAUGCGAGACAAUGCAAUCAGUUAUUGGGCAAUUAUUACUCUGAAUUAUUGUGGAAAUAUUGGGGAGCAGUGUCACCCAGACUGAUUUUUAUCCAUAUUGUACCUUAAUUGCAAUUUUUAAUUCUUUACACUUUCAACAAUCUUAAGAAUAAAAUUCUUUAAAAAAAAUCCAUUAAAACAAUCCCAAUCCCAAGGCAAGUUUGAUAAAUUUUUAGGGACCUAUACAAAAUCCUCAUUCUGCAUACAAAAUCCUCACUCUUCAAAAUUAUUAUUUUUUAACAACUGUAGCCCCUGCUUUUUACCAUUACUGUUAAUUCCUCAUUCCUGUUUUCCUCUGUGGGCUAUGUGUGUCAAUCUGUUUUAUCUUUAUUGUAGUCUCUCUAUUCUCCCUUGUUUCUGGCCGUUCCCUUUCUUAUUCCUCAAUCCUCUCUCAUUCUCAUUACUCCACCCUCCUCCCCUCACUUUUCCCUCUUCUCUCACCUCGACAAUAUUUUAAUUAUCUGUUGAUCCAUUCAUUGCAGUAUCUUCUGUACUUCCCUGUACUAUCUGCUCUAGCUGUUGCUCUAAAUCAUCUUUGUUUCACACCGUUGCAACAUGCUAUUAUCCAUGACUGAUAUAAGAAAUGUGCUAAGAA